This 253-nucleotide ribosomal RNA is filed under the name uncultured bacterium. Its description in RNAcentral is "partial 16S ribosomal RNA". It matches the Rfam family "Bacterial small subunit ribosomal RNA", at positions 524 to 776 of the family's 1533-position model. The record is from RNAcentral.
UACGGAGGGUGCAAGCGUUAUCCGGAUUUAUUGGGUUUAAAGGGUGCGUAGGCGGCUUUUUAAGUCAGUGGUGAAAUACUAGUGCUUAACACUAGAACUGCCAUUGAAACUAAAAAGCUUGAGUCAAGGAGAGGUAAGCAGAAUUUAUGGUGUAGCAGUGAAAUGCUUAGAUAUCAUAAGGAAUACCGAUAGCGAAGGCAGCUUACUGGCCUUGUACUGACGCUGAGGCACGAAAGCGUGGGGAGCAAACAGG